GUUUGGAUAGCUCAGUUGGUUAGAGCAUGUUGCUGAUAAUGCCUAGGUUGCAGGUUCAAUCCCCGUUUGGGACA
Molecule: transfer RNA, 74 nt
Filed under: Podarcis lilfordi (Lilford's wall lizard)
Lineage: Eukaryota; Metazoa; Chordata; Lepidosauria; Squamata; Lacertidae
Rfam family: tRNA
About the family: Transfer RNA (tRNA) molecules are approximately 80 nucleotides in length. Their secondary structure includes four short double-helical elements and three loops (D, anti-codon, and T loops).
Source: Rfam by way of RNAcentral